GUUGCAAGGCUCCUCCUCCAUCUCCAUGGCUCCAAUCCAAGCAAAGCCUGCCGUGCCGCGCCAUCUGCCCGUCACAGCCGUCGUACUCGACUCUAGCGAGGCGGCCACGGCCAAGCCAUCGGUGCGCGAGCACGGAAAUGCCUUUUUUUUUAUUAUUCCUUCAAUCCUACGAGUACGCGUAUGUAUAAUACUGAUCCUAUUGCCACGGAGGGUUACGGUUAUGCGGAGGCAAUUUCGUUUUUUGGCUGGUGCGUGUGUGAGCACUGACUCUCUGAGCUCUGAGCAAGGCAACGACGUUGAGGCCUGAGGGCUUCUAGAGGGCUCGAUGCAUGCCUAUGCUGCUUUGACGUAUUUGCCCUCCUGUGCGUGGGGGGUGCUCCUGGGUCGGUUUUGCUUGCUCCUCCUGAUCCCUUCCUG
RNAcentral lists this long non-coding RNA (417 nucleotides) under Sorghum bicolor (sorghum). Its description in RNAcentral is "long non-coding RNA (SBIC_LNC012608)". Lineage: Eukaryota; Viridiplantae; Streptophyta; Magnoliopsida; Poales; Poaceae. The record is from RNAcentral.